CCAUGAGCCUUAAGUGGUGGAGAAUGAGUAAGAAUGGAGCUUUCCUACCCUUACUCUGAUUAUUUUGGACACAAGACACUUGGCUUGCUUGUCUAGAAUUUUCACUCUUUCUCAUAAACCCUUGUUCAAGGUAAAAUCAACACAACCCAUCAAAUUUAUUUUUGUGCUUUAGGGAACCACCCUGAAAACCCUUUUCUCAAAU
RNAcentral lists this long non-coding RNA (202 nucleotides) under Lathyrus oleraceus (garden pea). RNAcentral describes it as "Pisum sativum (pea) long non-coding RNA (PSAT_LNC034892)". Lineage: Eukaryota; Viridiplantae; Streptophyta; Magnoliopsida; Fabales; Fabaceae. The record is from RNAcentral.